GACAGAGGGUGCAAACGUUGUUCGGAAUUACUGGGCGUAAAGCGUGUGUAGGCGGCCACGUAAGUCGGAUGUGAAAGCCCCGGGCUCAACCCGGGAAGUGCACUCGAUACUGCGUGGCUUGAGUACUGGAGAGGUUGGUGGAAUUCUCGGUGUAGAGGUGAAAUUCGUAGAUAUCGAGAGGAACACCGGUGGCGAAGGCGGCCAACUGGACAGAUACUGACGCUGAGACACGAAAGAGUGGGUAGCAAACAGG
Molecule: ribosomal RNA, 253 nt
Filed under: uncultured bacterium
Lineage: Bacteria
Description: partial 16S ribosomal RNA
Rfam family: Bacterial small subunit ribosomal RNA
Source: RNAcentral